RNAcentral lists this transfer RNA (77 nucleotides) under Geranium palmatum. RNAcentral describes it as "tRNA-Met". It matches the Rfam family "tRNA". From Rfam's summary of the family: Transfer RNA (tRNA) molecules are approximately 80 nucleotides in length. Lineage: Eukaryota; Viridiplantae; Streptophyta; Magnoliopsida; Geraniales; Geraniaceae. The record is from RNAcentral.
GGCGGGGUAGAGGAGCUUGGUAGCUGGCAAGGCUCAUAACAAUCUUGAGGUCACGGGUUCAAAUCCCGUCCACGCAA